AAAUCUCUUUAAGAGGUUCUUUAGUUUUCAGAAUGGCUGAUGUAAUAACUUUGCAGACUGAAAUUAUGUAUUUGAACUCAAGUAAUGAAAUCAAUGACUAAUCAAAGUCUAAGGUAACCCUCAGUUAGCACAUGUAAUUUGAAAUUUGGCACUAUUCCGAGUGAUUUACUGUUUGCUAGCAGAGGUCACAACUGUGAAACUUGAUCAUCCAGGUGACACAAGCACCAUUUAUUACACCCUCAGGAUAAAUAUCAAAGACUCUCAUAUAUUUAAUGCACUAGCAAUAGCAAUAACCAUGGUGCUUUUAGCUUAUAUAAUGCCAUACCAUUGUUUCAAAGAACUUACAUUCAAGAGUAUUUCAUAACUCAUCUGGGAAUUACUCAGUUACAUAAAAUCAGAGGA
RNAcentral lists this long non-coding RNA (402 nucleotides) under Bos taurus (domestic cattle). Its description in RNAcentral is "long non-coding RNA NONBTAT019539". Lineage: Eukaryota; Metazoa; Chordata; Mammalia; Artiodactyla; Bovidae. The record is from RNAcentral.